CGUCCCUUCUCGCCUAUUCAGUUCAAACCUUGGACACAUUCUCCAAAGCCAUAGCCUCCAUUUAUAACAGCGAGACAAAACUGCCGGACUCAUCUCCACCUCCGACCGGCUCAAAAUAAGUGAAGAAGGUUCCGCAGAAGCAUUACCCCAACAUACCUGCCGAGAUUUUAAAAGAAGUGAGCCCUAUUGUUCACCUCUCCCGCAGCGAAAGCACCACCACAGUUCUCCUCCUUCGUUCGACGCCAAACCAGCAUUAAAGAACACAUUUCCGUAAAGUUUAUAAAGUCAUUUAUAUAGGAGGUGGAGUUGAUGAAUAAACAAGCUUUUAGUCAAGAAUUUGCUUGUUUGAGAAUUCAAGUGGUGAAGCUGAAAAGGGGGUGGAGUUGGAGAUAUUAAUAUGCAUCUUAUUGCUCUGUUCUCUACUGCAGCAAAGUUUUUAAGAACCGUGGGGAUGGCUCUGGUUCUUUAGGAGGAUAUGCCUAAUGCCUGUUGUAGGUGUUGUGAUUUUAAAUUUUGAAAACUUUAGAAUUGAACAUGAAUUAUUCUCAAUCUUCUUAGUUCGCGUAGUAUUGACAUUUGUUUUAUGUGGUUGUUUUGCAUCUCAAAAUGGGAGGAAGGAAUGUUUUACGUGGUCGUACAAGGAGAAUCAAGCGGUGAAUCCUGCUGCCAAGGAGGAGGUCAAAGAUAUGUCACGCAUGUUUGAAACGCUAGCAAGUGAAAAAGGAGACGUCGACAUUUUAUUAAAUGUGACAUUCCUCAAGGGAAAAGAGAGUGAGGAAGGGAAUUCGAAAGGAAGGGGGCUGGCUUGAUUAAUAGUGAGGAGGCGAAUUCUAAUAGUAUUGUAAUUUGUAUUUGAUAUUGGAAAGUGGGUGUAAACUUUGUUCCUUCUAUUAUGUUUGGCAUCAGUAAAUCUCAUUCUUGCCAUGGA
Long non-coding RNA from Olea europaea var. sylvestris, 928 nucleotides. RefSeq lists it as uncharacterized. The transcript has 2 exons. Lineage: Eukaryota; Viridiplantae; Streptophyta; Magnoliopsida; Lamiales; Oleaceae. The record is from RefSeq and is a predicted model, not a curated record.